This 772-nucleotide small RNA is filed under the name Pan troglodytes (chimpanzee). RNAcentral describes it as "retained intron". Lineage: Eukaryota; Metazoa; Chordata; Mammalia; Primates; Hominidae. The record is from RNAcentral.
GCAGCCCGGGUCUCAGGGAACAUGGCGGCGCUGGUGAGACCCGCGAGGUUUGUCGUGCGACCGUUGCUGCAGGUGGUCCAGGCUUGGGACCUUGACGCGAGGCGCUGGGUCCGGGCGCUGCGGCGGAGCCCAGUGAAAGUGGUGUUUCCUUCCGGAGAGGUGGUGGAACAGAAGCGCGCUCCUGGGAAGCAGCCCCGCAAGGCACCAUCUGAGGCCAGUGCCCGGGAGCAACGAGAGAAACAACCGCUCGAGGAGUCCGCAUCCCGCGCUCCCAGCACCUGGGAAGAGUCUGGGCUUCGCUACGAUAAAGCUUAUCCCGGGGACAGGAGGCUGAGCAGUGUAAUGACAAUAGUGAAGUCCAGGCCAUUUCGGGAAAAACAAGGGAAGAUCCUGCUGGAAGGUCGCAGGCUCAUUUCAGACGCUCUCAAGGCUGGAGCUGUGCCAAAAAUGUUCUUCUUUAGCCGUCUAGAAUACCUAAAGGAGCUGCCAGUCGAUAAGCUGAAAGGUGUCAGCCUCAUUAAGGUGAAAUUUGAGGAUAUCAAGGAUUGGUCCGACCUCGUAACGCCACAAGGAAUAAUGGGUUAGUGAUUACCCAGUGUAUCUUUUUUUUUUUUUUUGUCUUGUUCUGUCACCCAGGCUGGAGUGCAAUGGCGCGAUCUUGGCCCACUGCAACCUCCGCCUCUCUGGUUCAAGGGAUUCUCUUGCCUCAGCCUCCCCAGUAGCUGGGAUUACAGGCGUCUGCCACCACGCCCGGGUGAUUUUUGUGUUUUUA